UGGGGAAUCUUGCGCAAUGGGCGGAAGCCUGACGCAGCAACGCCGCGUGGGGGAUGACGGCUUUCGGGUUGUAAACCCCUUUCGGCAGGGACGACUCUAGACGGUACCUGUAGAAGAAGCCCCGGCCAACUACGUGCCAGCAGCCGCGGUAAUACGUAGGGGGCGAGCGUUGUCCGGAUUCAUUGGGCGUAAAGAGCUCGUAGGCGGCUUGCUAAGUCGGGUGUGAAACCCCCGAGCUCAACUCGGGGUCGCCAUCUGAUACUGGUAUGGCUGGAGUCCGGUAGGGGACCAUGGAAUUCCUGGUGUAGCGGUGAAAUGCGCAGAUAUCAGGAGGAACACCGAUGGCGAAGGCAGUGGUCUGGGCCGGUACUGACGCUGAGGAGCGAAAGCGUGGGGAGCGAAC
RNAcentral lists this ribosomal RNA (403 nucleotides) under uncultured bacterium. RNAcentral describes it as "bacterial SSU rRNA". It matches the Rfam family "Bacterial small subunit ribosomal RNA", at positions 355 to 773 of the family's 1533-position model. The record is from RNAcentral.